UUGUUCCGUUUCAUUUCAUGAAAAGUACACACCCACAGUUUUAUAAGUUCUCUAGCAGACGGCUUAAGAUUGGAAGCAAUCCAGUCUGAAGCAGACUAGACAUGGGUUUGUUAACAAUAGCAGCCGCUGUAGCUGGUGCAGGCGGAGCAGUUGCUGCUGCGCCAUUCGUUCUCGGGGCUGCUGGUGUCACCGCAACAGGAGUUGCUAUGGGUUCUUUUGCCGCCACGUUCGGAAUUGGAGGAGGUGCCACUGGUAUCCCUGUAGCAGCUCAGGUUAUCGGUGCGGUGGGCGGUUUGGUUGCUCUGCUAUUUUGAAGUAUCAAAACCGAAGGCCCGCAUGUGAACCCAUACUGAACCAUGUAUAGCGCCUCCUACCUUUUUGAAAUGGAAUUUUGUAAGGGGCAGCUCCAAGUUGAAUAAUUAUAUGCCUAGGUGUUGUAUUAAGGCUACACUUGCUUUACGCCUGUUAAAUAAAGAGGAAAUAAAUAAAAGGU
Paramisgurnus dabryanus is the source of this 493-nucleotide long non-coding RNA. RefSeq lists it as uncharacterized. NCBI's taxonomy places the organism in Eukaryota, Metazoa, Chordata, Actinopteri, Cypriniformes, Cobitidae. The record is from RefSeq and is a predicted model, not a curated record.